Molecule: ribosomal RNA, 466 nt
Filed under: uncultured bacterium
Lineage: Bacteria
Description: partial 16S ribosomal RNA
Rfam family: Bacterial small subunit ribosomal RNA
Source: RNAcentral
GAUGAACGCUGGCGGCGUGCUUAACACAUGCAAGUCGAACGAUGAAGCCCAGCUUGCUGGGUGGAUUAGUGGCGAACGGGUGAGUAACACGUGAGUAACCUGCCCUUGACUCUGGGAUAAGCCUGGGAAACUGGGUCUAAUACUGGAUAUGACUUCUCAUCGCAUGGUGGGGGGUGGAAAGAUUUAUUGGUCUUGGAUGGACUCGCGGCCUAUCAGCUUGUUGGUGAGGUAAUGGCUCACCAAGGCGACGACGGGUAGCCGGCCUGAGAGGGUGACCGGCCACACUGGGACUGAGACACGGCCCAGACUCCUACGGGAGGCAGCAGUGGGGAAUAUUGCACAAUGGGCGCAAGCCUGAUGCAGCGACGCCGCGUGAGGGAUGACGGCCUUCGGGUUGUAAACCUCUUUCAGUAGGGAAGAAGCGAGAGUGACGGUACCUCCAGAAGAAGCGCCGGCUAACUACGUG